Molecule: long non-coding RNA, 555 nt
Organism: Oncorhynchus gorbuscha (pink salmon)
Lineage: Eukaryota; Metazoa; Chordata; Actinopteri; Salmoniformes; Salmonidae
Exons: 3
Source: RefSeq, a predicted model, not a curated record
CUUGGACUAAUGUCUCCAGCUCCACUCCUUUAACAAGCAAGCCGUUACAAGUUCACUAACUUCCUUUAUGAAGAUUCCUGGUAUUCCAGCUGGAAUCAGACAGGACUGUGCAGUUUUUCCUGCUAAUAAGGAACGCCAGGAAUCAGUUUUAUCCCACUCAGAGUCCACAAACCCCAGAGUUUUUAAUUAUAGAGAAAAUCCAGAGCAGCAAGAAGAGAAUGUGAUGUAAGUGUCGAGUGUGUUAGAUCCCUGACGAAGCUUCAGCGUUCUCAUUAGAGUUCUUUCAAUGGAAAGCCAAUGUAUCCCAUUGAUCCCAUUUCAGCCAUUACUGGGGUGUGUUUGGCAGAUCAUUACAAACAUUUACUACAGGCACAGGCAAGAGAAUGAAAGAGUCACAGGAGUAAAAUGAAAGCAAUCAAUCUACCCCUCCAACACAGAAAAUAGAUGGCAAAAUAAAACUAAUCAAAAACAGUGCACUAUAAAGGGAAUAGGGUGCCAUUUGUAUUUCUCAUUCACUCAGACCAGACAGGCGUCAGAGGAAUGAUAUUUGGCAGU